ACGGCUCAGUAACACGUAGCUAACCUGCCCUUAAGUCAAGGAUAACCUCGGGAAACUGAGGAUAAUACUUGAUAGGAGAUAUACCCUGGAAAGAUUUAUCUCAUAAAUUCGAGCUUAAGGAUGGGGCUGCGGCGGAUUAGGUUGUUGGCGGGGUAAUAGCCCACCAAGCCGAUGAUCCGUAAGGGCUCUUAGCGGAGAGGCCCUGAGAGGGAAUCUGAGACACUAUUCCCAGCCCUACGGGGUGCAGCAGGUAGGAAUCUUUUGCAAUGCGCGCAAGCGUGACAAAGCGAGCCAAAGUGCUUUUCAAUUGAAAAGCUUUUGCCAAAUCUAAAAAGUUUGGCGAAUAAGGACUGGGUAAGACUAGUGUCAGCCGCCGCGGUAAUCCUAGCGGUCCAAGUCGCAGCCAUCAUUAUUGGGUCUAAAACAUCCGUAGCUUGCUUAAUAAGUUCCCUGUGAAAUCUUGUCUCUUAAGGACGAGGCGUGCAGGGAGUACUGUUAAGCUAGAGACUGGGAGACGUAAGAAGUAUGUCCGAAGUAGCGGUUAAAUGUGUUAAUCUCGGACAGACUAAUAACAGCGAAGGCAUCUUACGAGAACAGUUCUGACAGUGAGGGAUGAAGGCCAGGGGCGCAAAAUGGAUUAGAUACCCAUGUAGUCCUGGCAGUAAACACUGCACACUAAACAUCAGUUCCUCCUCGAGAGGCAUUGGUGCUGUAGGGAAGCCGAAGAGUGUGCUACCUGGGAAGUAUAGUCGCAAGACCGAAACUUAAAGGAAUUGGCGGGGGAGCAC
This 788-nucleotide ribosomal RNA is filed under the name uncultured archaeon. RNAcentral describes it as "bacterial SSU rRNA". It matches the Rfam family "Archaeal small subunit ribosomal RNA", at positions 85 to 879 of the family's 1478-position model. The record is from RNAcentral.